GGUUAAGCUACAAAGGGCGCAUGGUGAAUGCCUUGGCAUCAGGAGCCGAUGAAGGACGUGAUAAGCUGCGAUAAGCUUCGGGUAGGCGCACAUAGCCUGAGAUCCGAAGAUCUCCGAAUGAGGAAACUCACAUGGGAAACCCCAUGUAUCAUUAAGUGAAUACAUAGCUUAAUGAAGGUAACCCAGGGAACUGAAACAUCUAAGUACCUGGAGGAAGAGAAAGAAAAAUCGAUUUUCUUAGUAGCGGCGAGCGAAAGGGAAAGAGCCCAAACCGGAAACUUGUUUCCGGGGUUGUGGACAUAGCAUAAAAGUGGAGGCUAUUGUAACUGAAGAGAACUGGAAAGUUCCACCGUAGAAGGUAAUAGUCCUGUAAGUGAAACGAGAAGACCACGAGUUAUGAUCCAGAGUACCACGAGACACGUGAAACCUUGUGGGAAGCAGGGAGGACCACCUCCCAAGGCUAAAUACUACCUGAUGACCGAUAGUGAAGCAGUACCGUGAGGGAAAGGUGAAAAGAACCCCGGGAGGGGAGUGAAAUAGAACCUGAAACCGUGUGCCUACAACCGCUCAGAGCCCCUUAUGAGGGUGAUGAGGUGCUUUUUGUAGAACGAGCCAACGAGUUACGGUAUGUAGCAAGGUUAAGUACUUAAGGUACGGAGCCGAAGGGAAACCGAGUCUGAAUAGGGCGACUAGUUGCAUGCCGUAGACCCGAAACCGGGUGACCUAUCCAUGGCCAGGUUGAAGCGAGGGUAAAACCUCGUGGAGGACCGAACCACGUUGCUGUUGAAAAAGCAUGGGAUGAGCUGUGGAUAGCGGAGAAAUUCCAAUCGAACCCGGAGAUAGCUGGUUCUCUCCGAAAUAGCUUUAGGGCUAGCGUCGAGUAUGAGUAGUGGAGGUAGAGCACUGAAUGGGCUAGGGGGCAUAGCGCUUACCGAACCUUAUCAAACUCCGAAUGCCACAUACUUUGAGCUCGGCAGUCAGACUACGAAUGAUAAGAUCCGUGGUCAAAAGGGAAACAGCCCAGAUCGUCAGCUAAGGUCCCAAAGUGUAAGUUAAGUGGGAAAGGAUGUGAGAUUUCUAAGACAACUAGGAUGUUGGCUUAGAAGCAGCCAUUCAUUAAAAGAGUGCGUAAUAGCUCACUAGUCGAGAGAUCUUGCGCCGAAAAUGUAACGGGGCUAAACUUACCACCGAAGCUACGGGCUUGAACUUAGUUCAAGCGGUAGGAGAGCGUCGUAACCGGGCUGAAGUCGUACCGUAAGGAGCGGUGGACUGGUUACGAGUGAGAAUGUUGGCAUCAGUAGCGAGAUGUGGGUGAGAAUCCCACAGGCCGAAAACCUAAGGUUUCCUCAGGAAGGUUCGUCCGCUGAGGGUUAGUCGGGACCUAAGCCGAGGCCGAAAGGCGUAGGUGAUGGACAACUGGUUGAUAUUCCAGUACCACUACCAUCGUUAUUAUCGAUGGCGUGACGCAGGAGGAUAGUGUGUGCUAGCUAUUGGAUGCUAGUCUAAGCGUUUAGGCAGUGAGAGUAGGCAAAUCCGCUCUCAUAAUGCUGAGGCGUGAUGGGGAAGGUUCUACGGAACCGAAGUACAUGAUUCCACGCUGCCAAGAAAAGCGUCUAGAGAGAGAAGUAGUGCCCGUACCGCAAACCGACACAGGUAGGUGAGGAGAGAAUCCUAAGGCCGGCGGAAGAAUUACAGUUAAGGAACUCGGCAAAUUGACCCCGUAAGUUCGCGAGAAGGGGUGCCUACGAGAGUAGGCCGCAGAGAAUAGGCCCAAGCAACUGUUUAGCAAAAACACAGGUCUCUGCUAAAGCGUAAGCUGAUGUAUAGGGGCUGACGCCUGCCCGGUGCUGGAAGGUUAAGGGGAACACUUAGCGCAAGCGAAGGUGUGAACUUAAGCCCCAGUAAACGGCGGCCGUAACUAUAACGGUCCUAAGGUAGCGAAAUUCCUUGUCAGGUAAGUUCUGACCCGCACGAAUGGCGUAAUGACUUGGGCACUGUCUCAACUGUAAAUCCGGCGAAGUUGUAGUGCGAGUGAAGAUGCUCGCUACCCGCGAUUGGACGGAAAGACCCCGUAGAGCUUUACUGUAGCUUAGCAUUGAGUUUUGGUAUUGUCUGUACAGGAUAGGUGGGAGACUAGGAAACCAGGGCGUCAGCCUUGGUGGAGUCAACCUUGGGAUACCACCCUGACAGUACUGAAAUUCUAACUGGCGGCCAUGAAUCUGGUCACAGGACAUUGUUAGGUGGGCAGUUUGACUGGGGCGGUCGCCUCCUAAAAAGUAACGGAGGCGCCCAAAGGUUCCCUCAGAACGGUCGGAAAUCGUUCGAAGAGUGCAAAGGCAGAAGGGAGCCUGACUGCGACACCCACAAGUGGAGCAGGGACGAAAGUCGGGCUUAGUGAUCCGGUGGUACCUCGUGGGAGGGCCAUCGCUCAACGGAUAAAAGCUACCUCGGGGAUAACAGGCUGAUCUCCCCCAAGAGUCCACAUCGACGGGGAGGUUUGGCACCUCGAUGUCGGCUCGUCGCAUCCUGGGGCUGAAGUAGGUCCCAAGGGUUGGGCUGUUCGCCCAUUAAAGCGGCACGCGAGCUGGGUUCAGAACGUCGUGAGACAGUUCGGUCCCUAUCCGUCGCGGGCGUAGGAAAUUUGAGAGGAGCUGUCCUUAGUACGAGAGGACCGGGAUGGACUGACCUCUGGUGUACCAGUUGUUCCGCCAGGAGCACAGCUGGGUAGCUAAGUCGGGAAUGGAUAAACGCUGAAAGCAUCUAAGCGUGAAGCCAACCUCAAGAUGAGAUUUCCCAUAGCGUAAGCUAGUAAGAUCCCUUGAAGAACACAAGGUUGAUAGGUCGGGGGUGUAAGCAUGGUAACAUGUUCAGCUGACCGAUACUAAUAGAUCGAGGGCUUGACCAA
Molecule: ribosomal RNA, 2905 nt
Filed under: Clostridium perfringens
Lineage: Bacteria; Bacillati; Bacillota; Clostridia; Eubacteriales; Clostridiaceae
Description: 23S ribosomal RNA
Rfam family: Bacterial large subunit ribosomal RNA
Source: RNAcentral